Molecule: long non-coding RNA, 712 nt
Organism: Raphanus sativus (radish)
Lineage: Eukaryota; Viridiplantae; Streptophyta; Magnoliopsida; Brassicales; Brassicaceae
Exons: 3
Source: RefSeq, a predicted model, not a curated record
AAACAUCAGUAAGGAUCAGUCCGUCAAUAAGAGGCAGAAGGACUCGAUCCUUAAGGCACGUGUCUGUACAGGAGAGGCUGUUGUGUUUUGUCUUGCGUUUGUGUUUGUUGUUGCGAAAAAAAAAUUCAUUCGGUUUUCAUCGGUUUCUCCUCGACGAAGCCGAGACAAUCAUGGGUGAUCUCGUCGACGACAAAGGAACUUGGCGGUAGCAAAGCGUGGGUUCCUCUCCUCAACGACGAAGCAAAUCGGCAGUGGCUCUGGUCGACGCGAAGCAACUCGGCGGAAGUUCUCAGCGUCAGCGAGUUCGUUCUCGCUGGUGAUAAUCUUGUCUCUAAGUGCCCUACCUGGUCAUGGGAAGCUGGUGAUCCAAGCAAGAGAAAGCCAUACUUGCCUUCAGAGAAACAGUUUCUGAUUACUAGGAAUGGUGAAGUAGAGCUCUUUUCUGUUCAAUUUAAAGUUUUUGAUUGUGCAUCUGCUCUUGCGUUUCGCACCUCACGCAAUGGUGAAAAAGAGUGAAAGAGAGGAGCAUUAGGAGUGGAAGGAUCACAGGAUCACAGAAACUUGUUGCAUGUCCUAUUGUCUGUCGUACUGAAGCUUGUUGUCAUGUGUAGUCUUACUCUCACCGAAGCUUGUAAAAGGUUGUAAUCUUGUACUCUCUUCUAUUGUUGUAAUGAAAUUGUUUUAAUUCUUAAAGACUCCAAAAUUCUUAAUU